Molecule: ribosomal RNA, 402 nt
Filed under: uncultured bacterium
Lineage: Bacteria
Description: bacterial SSU rRNA
Rfam family: Bacterial small subunit ribosomal RNA
Source: RNAcentral
AUUGAACGCUGGCGGCAUGCCUUACACAUGCAAGUCGAACGGCAGCACGGGAGCUUGCUCCUGGUGGCGAGUGGCGAACGGGUGAGUAAUACAUCGGAACGUACCCUGAAGUGGGGGAUAACGUAGCGAAAGUUACGCUAAUACCGCAUAUUCUGUGAGCAGGAAAGAGGGGGAUCGCAAGACCUCUUGCUUUAGGAGCGGCCGAUGUCGGAUUAGCUAGUUGGUGAGGUAAAGGCUCACCAAGGCGACGAUCCGUAGCGGGUCUGAGAGGAUGAUCCGCCACACUGGGACUGAGACACGGCCCAGACUCCUACGGGAGGCAGCAGUGGGGAAUUUGGUACAAUGGGCGCAAGCCUGAUCCAGCCAUGCCGCGUGAGUGAAGAAGGCCUUCGGGUUGUAAAG